AUCCAGCUGGCGAGUCCCAAAUAGGAUGAAAUGCGUGUCCUGGAU
This is a non-coding RNA of Schistosoma mattheei, 45 nucleotides long. The record is from Rfam. NCBI's taxonomy places the organism in Eukaryota, Metazoa, Platyhelminthes, Trematoda, Strigeidida, Schistosomatidae.